This 300-nucleotide ribosomal RNA is filed under the name uncultured bacterium. Its description in RNAcentral is "bacterial SSU rRNA". It matches the Rfam family "Bacterial small subunit ribosomal RNA", at positions 775 to 1067 of the family's 1533-position model. The record is from RNAcentral.
GGAUUAGAUACCCUGGUAGUCCACGCCGUAAACGAUGUGCACUAGGUCGGGGAAGUUCUGACACUCAUCCCGGCCGAAGCAAAAGUGUUAAGUGCACCGCCUGGGGAGUACGGUCGCAAGGCUAAAACUCAAAGGAAUUGACGGGGGCUCACACAAGCGGUGGAGCAUGUGGCUUAAUUCGAAGCAACGCGAAGAACCUUAUCCUGGGUUUGACAUGUACGGAUUAACUCCCUGAAAGGGGAGCCACGCCUUCGGGUGGAACGUACACAGGUGUUGCAUGGCUGUCGUCAGCUCGUGCCG